GACGAACGCUGGCGGCGUGCCUAAUACAUGCAAGUCGAGCGGAGAUAGUGGAGCUUGCUCCAUUAUCUUAGCGGCGGACGGGUGAGUAACACGUGGGCAACCUGCCCUGCAGAUCGGGAUAACUCCGGGAAACCGGUGCUAAUACCGAAUAGUUUGCGGCCUCUCAUGAGGCUGCACGGAAAGACGGUUUCGGCUGUCACUGCAGGAUGGGCCCGCGGCGCAUUAGCUAGUUGGUGGGGUAACGGCUCACCAAGGCCACGAUGCGUAGCCGACCUGAGAGGGUGAUCGGCCACACUGGGACUGAGACACGGCCCAGACUCCUACGGGAGGCAGCAGUAGGGAAUCUUCCGCAAUGGACGAAAGUCUGACGGAGCAACGCCGCGUGAGUGAAGAAGGUUUUCGGAUCGUAAAACUCUGUUGUGAGGGAAGAACAAGUACCAACUAACUACUGGUACCUUGACGGUACCUCACCAGAAAGCCACGGCUAACUACGUGCCAGCAGCCGCGGUAAUACGUAGGUGGCAAGCGUUGUCCGGAAUUAUUGGGCGUAAAGCGCGCGCAGGCGGUCCUUUAAGUCUGAUGUGAAAGCCCACGGCUCAA
Molecule: ribosomal RNA, 600 nt
Filed under: Planococcus sp. YIM C832
Lineage: Bacteria; Bacillati; Bacillota; Bacilli; Caryophanales; Caryophanaceae
Description: bacterial SSU rRNA
Rfam family: Bacterial small subunit ribosomal RNA
Source: RNAcentral